Molecule: ribosomal RNA, 33 nt
Filed under: Armillaria cepistipes
Lineage: Eukaryota; Fungi; Basidiomycota; Agaricomycetes; Agaricales; Physalacriaceae
Description: partial small subunit ribosomal RNA
Source: RNAcentral
GGUUUCCGUAGGUGAACAGCGGAAGGAUCAUUA